UACGGGGGAUGCAAGUGUUAUCCGGAAUCACUGGGCGUAAAGCGUCUGCAGGUGGUUUCCUAAGUCCACUGUUAAACCUUGAGGCACAACCUCAAAUCUGCAUUGGAAACUAGGAGACUUGAGUAUAGUAGGGGUAGAGGGAAUUUCCAGUGGAGCGGUGAAAUGCGUAGAUAUUGGAAAGAACACCGAUGGCGAAGGCACUCUACUGGGCUAUUACUGACACUCAGAGACGAAAGCUAGGGGAGCAAAUGGG
RNAcentral lists this ribosomal RNA (253 nucleotides) under uncultured bacterium. Its description in RNAcentral is "partial 16S ribosomal RNA". It matches the Rfam family "Bacterial small subunit ribosomal RNA", at positions 524 to 776 of the family's 1533-position model. The record is from RNAcentral.